Molecule: ribosomal RNA, 465 nt
Filed under: uncultured bacterium
Lineage: Bacteria
Description: partial 16S ribosomal RNA
Rfam family: Bacterial small subunit ribosomal RNA
Source: RNAcentral
GACGAACGCUGGCGGCGUGCUUAACACAUGCAAGUCGAACGGAAAGGCCCUGCUUGCCGGGUACUCGAGUGGCGAACGGGUGAGUAACACGUGGGUGAUCUGCCCUGCACUUCGGGAUAAGCCUGGGAAACUGGGUCUAAUACCGGAUAGGAGCCAUUUUUAGUGUGAUGGUUGGAAAGUUUUUUCGGUGUAGGAUGAGCUCGCGGCCUAUCAGCUUGUUGGUGGGGUAAUGGCCUACCAAGGCGGCGACGGGUAGCCGGCCUGAGAGGGUGGACGGCCACAUUGGGACUGAGAUACGGCCCAGACUCCUACGGGAGGCAGCAGUGGGGAAUAUUGCACAAUGGGCGCAAGCCUGAUGCAGCGACGCCGCGUGGGGGAUGACGGCCUUCGGGUUGUAAACGCCUUUCGCUAGGGACGAAGCUUUUUGUGACGGUACCUAGAGAAGAAGCACCGGCUAACUACGUG